GUAUAACAUAAAUAACAACGAAAAUAUGUAUUAAUUAAUCUAAAUAUACAACUUUCUUUAAUGGAUUUAUAAAGAAGAAAAUUAACUAUAAAAUUAACUAAAGUAAAUUUAAAUAUAUUCAUUUAUAUUCAUUUUAUAUAUUCACUGAAUAAAUUUCAUAAAUUUCACUAAAAAAAAUAAUCGAUAAAAUCAGUUACCGUGAUAAAAAUUAACGUAAAAGAUAAAAAGUAUAUAAUAAUUAAGACAAAAGAUAACAGUUGUAUCGGUUAUUCAACAAACGUAGAAUUAACAUAAGAACAAUCAUAAGAUGAGCAAUCCAAAUGCUUAUGUGCGUCUAAGGGUUCAUAUCUCUCGAGUUGAGAGCGGAUGCGCCACCGAUCGGCUGCAUCUAUCCCCACCCUCGCACACUGACGAGUUACGCACGAGCACAAGCAUCCUAUGAGGGGUGGUCGUAGAGAUAGAGAGAAAAAGAGAGAAAAUACAGGCCAAGAGAGCCCCCGCUGACUGGUCUCAUCGAUCCCUUUGGACGACGCGACGACGAUGACGUCGACGGUAGUCUGGACCAGAACGUCGUGCUGAUCUCUUCUCUUUAUCUCUCACUUUCUUUCUUAGCUAACCACAUCUGCUUCUUGUCUCGUCAUACUUCGUGGUAUAAUUUCCUUAUCUCGGUUUUCUUUCCGAAUUCCGCUUACUUUCAUCAUGUACAAAUUUAAUUCUCGAAAUGAAAAGAAAAAAAAAAGUUAAAAGAAUCGAUCAAUUAUAUUCUCUCUCUCUCUCUUCUCUCUCUUUCUCUCUCCCUCUCUCUCUUUUAUCACGUGCGUUUACAAAUCGGUAGUACACGCAACCACGUGUAUAAGACAUAGUGAAUCAAUAUACGUUUAUCACGAGUGUGAGCACAUCUUUCAUUUUUUUUACUCUUUGACUAUUUUAGACCUAACACUCGCGUUUUGUGACGUGUACCCGUCCUCUUGCUCUCUAUAUAUAAUUGUAUUAGUGCGCGUAAUGUGUGCUCACACUCGCUGACGUGCGUGAGUAUUUCUAUAGUGUCGACAUCGUCACGAUCAUCGUUCAAAAGGUAGAAGAAGACAUAAGCUUAUGCUCGGUGAUCCAAAUUCAAAGACAUGUGUACGCCGGAGGAGGCGAAGAUCGACCUAAAAGAUAACAGCUCAGUAUAACUUUGAAUUAUUUACUUUGACGAGGAACUUUAACCGAUGAUGUCAUCGAAGCGAAUAUCAUCAUUUCAAGUUUAUCGCGAAAAUAUUUCAAACUAAAUAAUAAAUCGAUUCAACAGGAUUAGAAAUCAAGGGAAAUAUUGUUGCAUUUCAUUUUUUCUUCAAUAUAUAACGUACUACGUAUCUAAUCACAAAAAAAACAAUACAGAAAAUAUAUUCUCCUUACCUGCCAUAUGUCGUCCAUCGUAAACAUCGUAUACAUUUACGACAGCUGCUCAUUUAUGAAUUACUUUUACGUUCGUAUAUCUUAUCAGAGAUUUAUAAUAUACCAUCGGACGUCUGCCUUUACGAAACACAUUUUAAAAUCGACCGUGAAUUUACAACAUGAAAAGAAAACAUCUGAAAAGUAUCUACUUCGAAUUAAAUAACAUGUGUUAUCUAAUUGAGAUAAGAAAAGAAACGAAUGCUAUUUUUGAAAUAUUUUGAAAUAUUUUUGAUAUAUAUACGAAUGCUAUUGGAAAAAUACGUUAUCUCAAUGGAAUUACACAAUGCUAAAACCAUGCCUAUCAUCAGCAUACAUAUUGUUAUGUCGUUAAAGUCUAAUAACAGUUAAUCAUCCUUAAUCUCUUAUUUAUUAUCUUAACCAUUCCUUCUUGAAUUAUUCUUGUUUUCACCAAAUUUUUUAUCAUAUUAACGUAUAGUUUCAAAACAAUCUGUAGAAUUAGAAACGGAACGCGAUGAGAUCACUGUGUAUUUAGACAAAAACGCCCGAAGACCGUACAGCAUAUGAUUCCGAUGCAUAUGGUCAAAUGUCUCCAGUUUCGCUUAUCGCUAUGCCACUCUCCUUUGCAAUAGUUUUUUGGCUUUGUUAGCGAAUAACUCAGUUUGCAAUAAACUUUUAUGAGGAAACAUUGAAUUAUAGAAUAAAAUAAACGCUCAAUCUCCCUA
Vespa mandarinia (Asian giant hornet) is the source of this 2120-nucleotide long non-coding RNA. NCBI's taxonomy places the organism in Eukaryota, Metazoa, Arthropoda, Insecta, Hymenoptera, Vespidae. The record is from RefSeq and is a predicted model, not a curated record.